GUCACUGGUUCGUUUUGCAGACGUUCUCUCUUGCCUGUAAACUGCCAGAACAGAAGAGAGAUAAUUUUGAACGCUUUGAUCCCUUUGGAGACUAUCCAGAAUCGGAAUAAACUAUUUUCCAAGGGCACGUUUCAUUGCAGACCUCAGCCUUUUGAAACUGUGAGUAGAGAGUAAUUAAUUUACACACGGCUCUUCACACUGCCUUAAGGAGAUUAUCAUUUGUUUCCAGGAGACUUGCGAUCACGGAUAUAAAGCAUACAGACAUUCAGGAUUUAAAGACUUUGCAAAAGACUCUUUGGCCUUUUGGCCAUUUGGGACAUUAUUUUUAAUCCAAGCACACUAUUAUUAUUUUUAUUUUGUUUUGUUGUAUAUUGUUAUGCAAAUUCUAUUUAAUUUAUUGUCUAUUUACUUAUAAGGUCGACCUUAAAUGUAUUAAUAAAUGUAUUUUAUUGACCAGAUUUGUUAUAUUAUAUGUUAAUGUUAUAUUUUAUUAAAAUCCACUUUUUAUUAAA
Bombina bombina (fire-bellied toad) is the source of this 512-nucleotide long non-coding RNA. RefSeq lists it as uncharacterized. The transcript has 2 exons. The record is from RefSeq and is a predicted model, not a curated record. NCBI's taxonomy places the organism in Eukaryota, Metazoa, Chordata, Amphibia, Anura, Bombinatoridae.